Molecule: ribosomal RNA, 301 nt
Filed under: Odontozona aff. ensifera LMT-2017
Lineage: Eukaryota; Metazoa; Arthropoda; Malacostraca; Decapoda; Stenopodidae
Description: partial 12S ribosomal RNA
Source: RNAcentral
CACUUGUUACUUAUUAGAGAAAUUUGCUAUAAAAAAUCGAUAAACCUCGAAAUAUCUUACUUUUGUUUGUGUUUAUCAGUUUGUAUACCGUCAUAGAUGUAAUUUUUAAAAAAUAUGAAUUAUUUAAAUUAUCUUGUUAGAUAAGAUAUUAGAUCAAGGUGCAGCUAAUACAGAAGGUUAAAGUGAAUUACAAUAUAUUUUUAUAGGUGUGUGGAGAGAGGGUGGAAUUAAUUCUUUUGAAAGUGGAUUUAAUAGUAAUAAUAUUUUAAUAAGUUAUUAUGACUAUAGUUCUGGAGUAUGU